CUAGACAAGGCUUCCUUGUUAAUUAAGAAGCUUUAACUGCUAAGGAGAAAAGGGUAGGCCCACUUUUUGGAUGCCUGUCCUUAUGGGUGAUUGUGAUUUGACUCUCCCAUUGUUUUUGGGCUCCAUUAGUGAACAGAUUUCAUUUGGAAGUUUUCUUUUCAACCAUUAGAGCAUAUGCACCGAGUUAAAUGCCUGUUUCACUAUCUGCAGAUCAUUUAUCAUAGUUUUGAGAUAUGCUUCCC
Molecule: long non-coding RNA, 242 nt
Filed under: Manihot esculenta (cassava)
Lineage: Eukaryota; Viridiplantae; Streptophyta; Magnoliopsida; Malpighiales; Euphorbiaceae
Description: long non-coding RNA (MESC_LNC008392)
Source: RNAcentral